Molecule: RNase P RNA, 355 nt
Filed under: Ignatzschineria indica
Lineage: Bacteria; Pseudomonadati; Pseudomonadota; Gammaproteobacteria; Cardiobacteriales; Ignatzschineriaceae
Description: RNase P RNA component class A
Rfam family: Bacterial RNase P class A
About the family: Ribonuclease P (RNase P) is a ubiquitous endoribonuclease, found in archaea, bacteria and eukarya as well as chloroplasts and mitochondria. Its best characterised activity is the generation of mature 5'-ends of tRNAs by cleaving the 5'-leader elements of precursor-tRNAs.
Source: RNAcentral
UGAGUUAGCUAGAUGAUCGCUGGUUAUUGCAAAAUAACGAGAGGAAAGUCCGGGCUCCUCGGAUCAAGAUGCUAGAUAACGUCUAGAGGGCGCGAGUCCAUGGAAAGUGCUGAAGAAAUGAUACCGCCUAAAGAUCAUUAGAUCUCGGUAAGGGUGAGAAGGUGCGGUAAGAGCGCACCGUGCGAGAGGUGACUCUUCGUAGCUGAGGUAAACCCCAUCUGGAGCAAGACCAAAUAGGAGUACAUUAGACGAGAUCCGCGUUGUACUCGGGUAGGUCGCUUGAGCCUAGAAGCAAUUCUAGGCCUAGAGGAAUGAUCAUCCACGACAGAACCCGGCUUAUCGGCUAACUCAUCCC